UCGAGUAUAUAUUAAUAUAACUUUAUUGUACAUUUAGUGCUGCAAUUAUAGCUCUAUAACUGCCUAUAUACACCAAAAAUAUCUAAUAGCCCAGGAGACUAUUAACAAGCUCAGUCCUACAUGAAACAAAUUCCUCAAUGUAUCCUUAGCACAAUAAGGCUCACUUAAUAAUAAUAAUAACAGAAUGUGGAACUAAGCCUUAAGUGCCAGACUUAAUGGGGAACUUUGAUACACAAUAGACUGUACAGAGACAACAUUGAUCAUGUUAUUGUUGAUGUUACUUCACUGCAACACAAUGCAUUAGAGAUUGAUAAUCGAAUUAGCUAAAUUAAAUUUAAAACAGACAAUGAACAGAUGUUUACUUCGUAUUUACCUCAAAAGGAAAGAAGAUUAGGGGGUGGGGUAGAGGAUAUGUUUUUAACAUUGUAUCUUACCAAGCAGGAGGGCAAACAUUUCAAGAAAUGAACAUGAAUCGGAAACUAUCAAUGUUGAAUAACUUAACUAGAAAGUCCAAAAGCAAAGUACAUUCUGUAAAUAAUGAAUCAAUAUGUUAAAAAAAACAACACCUUACUUCAGCAGGGUAGCUUGUCAGUGGUGCAUUUGUAAGCCAGUAAUACUGUAACCAAUAAGUUACAAAUAUAUUACAGUAAGUAAGCCAGUGGUUCAAAGUGUCUUUAGUGAUUUUAUGUGUUUUUUUUGGUGAGUUUGUUUCUUAAGGGUAUGUGAAGGGAAGGUCUUUGUGUUAAAGCAUGGUCUUCACCUAACAUCUCAUUGGAUACCUAAAUAGCUCCAGAGUGGAGAAGACAUCAAGGAGGUCUGCACCUAACAUAUCAUUGGAUACCUAACUAGCUCCAGAGUGGAGCAGACAUCAAGGAGGUCGCACUGAACAUCUCAUUGGAUACCUAACUAGCUCCAGAGUGGAGCAGACAUCAAGGAGGUCUGCACCUAACAUCUCAUUGGAUACCUAACUAGCUCCA
Non-coding RNA from Biomphalaria pfeifferi, 977 nucleotides. Lineage: Eukaryota; Metazoa; Mollusca; Gastropoda; Planorbidae. The record is from the annotation of a GenBank genome assembly.